UCCGGGAUCUGGCUGGCUGGCGCUUUGUCUGGCCUUGGCCGCAGUAGGCUCUUUCUGGUAGUCUCGCUGCUACUUCUUGGCUCUGGGAGGCCCAGGUGGCUCUGCAGCAGCCUCUGCCACCCUGUGACCUGCGGUUAAUGGGACAUCCCUAGCUGACGCCGGGACACCCGGGAAGCCGAGGAGUGGACUCUGUGGCUUUUGAGGAUGUGGCUGUGAACUUUACCCAGGAGGAAUGGGCUUUGCUAGAUUCUUCUCAGAAGAAUCCCUGCAUAGAAGUGAUGCAGGAAACCUGCAGGAACCUGGCUUCUGUAGAAAUCAUAUGGUACAGAGACUGUGUGAAAGCAAAGAAGGUAGUCAGUAUGAUGGACAAGUUGUUAGCCAAAUUCCAAAUCUUGAUCUGAAUGAGAACAUUUCUACUGGAUGAAAACAAUGUGAAUGUAGUGUUUGUGGAAAAGUCUUUGUACAUCAUUCCCUCCUUGGAACAGGC
Molecule: long non-coding RNA, 487 nt
Organism: Rhinopithecus roxellana (golden snub-nosed monkey)
Lineage: Eukaryota; Metazoa; Chordata; Mammalia; Primates; Cercopithecidae
Exons: 3
Source: RefSeq, a predicted model, not a curated record